UUAGCUCAUAUUUGUAUGGAAUGGGAUCGUUUGCCUACGUUUGCCGCUAGGGGCUCUAUUCCGACUGCAUACAAAAUUGGACUA
RNAcentral lists this microRNA precursor (84 nucleotides) under Bombyx mori (domestic silkworm). RNAcentral's name for it is "mir-2807 microRNA precursor family". It matches the Rfam family "mir-2807 microRNA precursor family". Lineage: Eukaryota; Metazoa; Arthropoda; Insecta; Lepidoptera; Bombycidae. The record is from Rfam by way of RNAcentral.